AUGGCCAACGUUGUCCUCAAUUUCAACGCGUUCCUAGAGAAAACCAAGCUGAAAGAUGAUGGCAGCAACUAUACGGACUGGGUCCGAAACCUGAGGCUCAUCCUCAUAGUAGCCAAGAAAGAUUAUGUCUUAGAAGCACCGCUAGGUGAUGCACCAAUCCCACAGAACCAAGACGUUAUGAACGCUUGGCAAUCACGUGCUGAUGAUUACUCCCUCGUUCAGUGCGGCAUGCUUUAUAGCUUAGAACCGGGUCUCCAAAAGCAUUUUGAGAAACAUGGAGCAUAUGAGAUGUUCGAGGAGCUGAAACUGGUUUUUCAAGCUCAUGCCCGGGUCGAGAGAUAUGAUGUCUCCGACAAGUUCUUCAGCGGUAAAAUGGAGGAGAACAGUUCUGUUAGUGAGCACAUACUCAGAAUGUCUGGGUUGCACAACCGCUUGUCUCAGCUGGGAGUUAAUCUCCCGGAUGACGCGGUCAUUGACAAAAUCCUCCGGUCACUUCCACCAAGCUACAAGAGCUUAGUGAUGAACUACAAUAUGCAGGGGAUGGAAAAGACCAUUCCCGAGGUAUAUUCAAUGCUGAAAUCAGCGGAAGGGGAGAUCAGAAAAGAACAUCAAGUGUUGAUGGUGAAUAAAACCACUAAGUUCAAGAAGGGCAAGGGUAAGAAGAACUUCAAGAAGGACGGCAAGUGA
This 687-nucleotide ribosomal RNA is filed under the name Triticum aestivum (bread wheat). Its description in RNAcentral is "partial small subunit ribosomal RNA". The record is from RNAcentral. Lineage: Eukaryota; Viridiplantae; Streptophyta; Magnoliopsida; Poales; Poaceae.